CCCCUUUGGGUGGGGGCAUGGGGACUGUGGGAUGAUAG
Molecule: ribosomal RNA, 38 nt
Filed under: Vachellia nilotica (Egyptian acacia)
Lineage: Eukaryota; Viridiplantae; Streptophyta; Magnoliopsida; Fabales; Fabaceae
Description: partial 18S ribosomal RNA
Source: RNAcentral